GCUGGCGGCGUGCCUAACACAUGCAAGUCGAACGCGAAAGGGGAGCAAUCCCUGAUUAGAGUGGCAAACGGGUGAGUAACACGUGGGUGACCUGCCUUCGAGUGGGGGAUAACCUUCCGAAAGGAGGGCUAAUACCGCAUGACAUACCGUGUUUGGAUACACGGAUAUCAAAGCCGGGGAUCGCAAGACCUGGCGCUUGGAGAGGGGCCCGCGUCCGAUUAGCUAGUUGGUGAGGUAACGGCUCACCAAGGCUCCGAUCGGUAUCCGGCCUGAGAGGGCGGACGGACACACUGGAACUGAGACACGGUCCAGACUCCUACGGGAGGCAGCAGUGGGGAAUUGUUCGCAAUGGGCGAAAGCCUGACGACGCAACGCCGCGUGGAGGAUGAAGAAUUUCGGUUCGUAAACUCCUUUCGACCGAGAUGAAUAUCCCGCGAUCUAAUAAGUCGCGGGACUGACAGUAUCGAGAGAAGAAGCCCCGGCUAACUCUGUGCCAGCAGCCGCGGUAAUACAGGGGGGGCAAGCGUUGUUCGGAAUUACUGGGCGUAAAGGGUUCGUAGGUGGCCACUUAAGUCAGACGUGAAAUCCCUCAGCUUAACUGGGGAACUGCGUCUGAUACUGAGUGGCUUGAGUGCAGGAGAGGAAUGCGGAAUUCCAGGUGUAGCGGUGAAAUGCGUAGAUAUCUGGAGGAACACCGGUGGCGAAGGCGGCAUUCUGGACUGUAACUGACACUGAGGAACGAAAGCCAGGGGA
RNAcentral lists this ribosomal RNA (753 nucleotides) under uncultured soil bacterium. Its description in RNAcentral is "bacterial SSU rRNA". It matches the Rfam family "Bacterial small subunit ribosomal RNA", at positions 35 to 767 of the family's 1533-position model. The record is from RNAcentral.